GUGAAUCAUCGAAUUUUUGAACGCAAAUUGCACUCUCUUCGGAGAGUAUGCCUGUUUGAGGGUCAGUAUUAAUAAAAAUCGGUGUGUUGCUUCUUUCUGACGCUCCGGUGUUUGGGUCAUCUUUAUUACCUUUAGGUUUUAUGAGGCUUAAAAUUUACUUUUUUUGUGCAUUUUAGAUGUACAUAAACUCUUUUUUUUAUCGGUCUGUCUUUCUGUUCAAACUCCUCUUAGAUGUGAUCA
Molecule: unclassified non-coding RNA, 240 nt
Filed under: Glomeraceae sp.
Lineage: Eukaryota; Fungi; Glomeromycota; Glomeromycetes; Glomerales; Glomeraceae
Description: partial contains 5.8S ribosomal RNA and internal transcribed spacer 2
Rfam family: 5.8S ribosomal RNA (bases 1-65)
Source: RNAcentral